Dreissena polymorpha is the source of this 3117-nucleotide long non-coding RNA. RefSeq lists it as uncharacterized. NCBI's taxonomy places the organism in Eukaryota, Metazoa, Mollusca, Bivalvia, Myida, Dreissenidae. The record is from RefSeq and is a predicted model, not a curated record. The transcript has 4 exons.
UCGCACAGGGCUUGAAAAGUGCUUGAAAACGAGUCCUAGGCUUGAAAAGCCCUCGAACAAAGGUUGGCCUUGAAAAAGUGCUUGAAAAGUGCUUAUUUCAUUUAAAAAAGCCUUGAAAAUGUUUAUUUCUGCUCAAAAUUACAUGUAUCAUCGCUUUAAUUAUAAUCUUAAAUCGUUCUUAAGGGAAAUAUUACGAAAAAUUAUCAUAAAUUCCUUCGCGCAAAAAGUUGAGUACGAAAUAUAUAAGCUUCGUACACUAUUGAGUACGAAACGUUAUGUGUACACGUCACAGAUUAUGUGUACUACGUCAGAGGUUCUCCAUUGUGAUCAAUUUUCGCGAGUGAAAACGCAGCAAUGGGGAAGUGUCAUUUCAAACCAGGGUGGUUAACUGAAUAUUCCUGGGUACAGAAAACAAAUGACAUUCAAAAAGCACAUUGUCGGGUCUGUAUGAAGACCGUUGAUGUCAGGGGAUGGGGAAAAGCGCUUUGAAAAGCCACGAGAAAGGAGAAACCCACAAAGAAAACAUGAAAUUGAGAAGCAAUGUGUUUGUUUGUAAUAACUUUAAACUGAAAAUUAAAUACAAAUUAAUCGGAACUGCUGAUUAUCGGGAACUGGUUGACAAACUGUAUGUGAGACUCAUUGAGUUAAGGAUGGAUAACAUGUAUGUAAUAACUAGAAAUAACAUGUAUGAGUUAUUGUGGAAUAAGUUUAAUUUGUUUGAGCAAAUAAAUGAUAUUAACUGUGUUAAACUUGCUUGAAAAUGCACUUUUUUAAGGAAACUAACGUACGGUUCUCGGCCUUGAAAAUGAAAAUUGGGCCUUGAAAAGUCAUUGAAAAGUGCUUGAAUUUAGGUUUGAGAAUUCUGUUUGAACCAUGUUCAAUGAUGUUCAUGUAUUUACAUUUUAGACUUCCUCAACUUUGCUGACGAUAUUAGUCCAUUCGACGAUGAUGAAACAGUAAAUGAAACAUCAAAAGACAGCAGUGCAGAUCAAGUUCUUAGUGUGCCUGUUCCUGUGAAUAAUAAGGAAAUUAAACCAAUCAGGAAUCCAGCUAUUGGUAAAAGGAAAGAGCAGACCCUGAGGGAACUGCAGAUGGCAUAUUAUGCUGGAGCCAUUGCAGUUCCACAGGAAAAGUUGCUCCUUAUGAAAUCCCAGAGAGAGUUUUUUGAGGAGGGAAAGCUCAUGAUGGCAUUUGCCAAAGACAAACUGUAAAAGAAUGUCAUAAAACAACAUUUUUUAUCAUUUUGAAAAAAAAAAUUCUAAAAAUUAUACAAAUUACAUUUGUAGCCGGGGUUUGUGUUAACAACACAAGGGGUUUUAAGUUCCAAGUUUUUAAUAUAUGUGAAUGAUGGUCAGUGACCAAGACUUAGUGUAGAAAGUGGCAAUUGAAAAUAGCCAACUGCAACAUCUACCUCUUGCAAGGUUUUACAAACAAGUGACUUAACAUUUAGUUAGCUACUAUUUAAAAUUAUAUGGAUGAACAUGAAAUCAUCUCACAAUAAACACAAAAAUGUAAGUAAAGUAAGUAAGUAUGCACAGGGAAAAUAAUCAAAAUUAUUAAACUAUAUAUUUAUGAACACACAUUUUUAAGACUUGUUUUGUCUUUAUCAGAUGUAAAUGAACACACUUUUUAUAGACUUGUUUUAUCUUUAUCAGAUGUAAAUGAACACACAUUUUUAAGACUUGUUUUGUCUUUAUCAGAUGUAAAUGAACACACAUUUUAUAGACUUGUUUUGUCUUUAUCAGAUGUAAAUGAACACACAGUUUAAAGACUUGUUUUGUCUUUAUCAGAUGUAAAUGAACACACAUUUUAUAGACUUGUUUUGUCUUUAUCAGAUGUAAAUGAACACACAUUUUUAAGACUUGUUUUGUCUUUAUCAGAUGUAAAUGAACACACAUUUUUAGCUCAUCUAUUUUUUGAAAAAAAAUUAUGAGCUAUUGUCAUCACCUUGGCGUCGGCGUUGGCGUUGGCGUCGGCGUCCGGUUAAGUUUUGCGUUUAGGUCCACUUUUCUCAGAAAGUAUCAAUGCUAUUGCAUUCAAACUUGGUACACUUACUUACUAUCAUGAGGGGACUGGGCAGGCAAAGUUAGAUAACUCUGGCGUGCAUUUUGACACAAUUAUGUGCCCUUUUUAUACUUAAAAAAUUGAAAAUUUUGGUUAAGUUUUGCGUUUAGUUCCACUUUUCUCAGUAAGUAUCAAUGCUAUUGCAUUCAAACUUGGUACACUUACUUACUAUCAUCAGGGGACUGGGCAGGCAAAGUUAGAUAACUCUGGCAUGCAUUUUGACAGAAUUAUGUGCCCUUUUUAUACUUAGAAAAUUGGCAAUUUUGGUUAAGUUUUGUGUUUAGGUCCAUUUUAUUCCUUAAGCAUCAAAGCUAUUGCUUUCACACUUGCAACACUUACUAACUAUCAUAAGGGGACUGUGCAGGCAAAGUAAUGUAACUCUGACUGGCAUUUUGACAGAAUUAUGUGCCCUUUUUAUACUUAGAAAAUUGAAAAUUUGAUUAAGUUUUGUGUUUAGGUCCACUUUAUUCCUACAGUAUCAAAGCUAUUGCUUUCAUACUUGCAAGAUUUAUGAACUAUCAUAAGGGGACGGUGCAGGCAAAGUUAUGUAGCUCUGACUGGCAUUUGGACGGAAUUAUGGGCCCUUUAUACUUAGAAAAUUUAAAAUUUGGUUAAGAUUUAUGUUUUGGUCCACUUAACCCCUAAAGUAUCAUAGAUAUUGCUUUCAUACUUGGAACACUCACAAACUAUCAUAAGGGUACAGUAAAAGGACAAGUUGCAUAACUCUGGUUGUCAUUGUUAUGGAAUUAUGGCCCUUUUUUGACUUAGUAACUUUUAAUAUAUGGUUAAAUUUUGUGUUUCGAUCCACUCGAAGUAUCAAGGCUAUUGCUUUCAAACUUCAAAUACUUACAUGCUAUCAUGAGGUUACUGUACCUGGCAACUUGAAUUUUACUUUGACCUUUGAAUGACCUUGACUCUCAAGGUCAAAUUAUUAAAUUUUGCUAAAAUUGCCAUAACUUCUUUAUUUAUGAUUAGAUUUGAUUGAUACUUUGAUGAAACUACUCUUACCUGACAUACCACAAUAGACUUCACCCAAACCAUCCCCCGUGCCCC